Molecule: ribosomal RNA, 587 nt
Filed under: uncultured bacterium
Lineage: Bacteria
Description: bacterial SSU rRNA
Rfam family: Bacterial small subunit ribosomal RNA
Source: RNAcentral
UCCGGAACAGUGGCGGACGGGUGAGUAACACGUGAGCAACCUGCCUUUCAGAGGGGGACAACAGUUGGAAACGACUGCUAAUACCGCAUAACGUAUUUUGGCGGCAUCGCCGGAAUACCAAAGGAGCAAUCCGCUGAAAGAUGGGCUCGCGUCUGAUUAGAUAGUUGGUGAGGUAACGGCUCACCAAGUCGACGAUCAGUAGCCGGACUGAGAGGUUGAACGGCCACAUUGGGACUGAGACACGGCCCAGACUCCUACGGGAGGCAGCAGUGGGGGAUAUUGGACAAUGGGGGAAACCCUGAUCCAGCGAUGCCGCGUGAGGGAAGAAGGUUUUCGGAUUGUAAACCUCUGUGGAGGGGGACGAUAAUGACGGUACCCCUUUAGGAAGCCACGGCUAACUACGUGCCAGCAGCCGCGGUAAUACGUAGGUGGCGAGCGUUGUCCGGAAUUACUGGGUGUAAAGGGAGUGUAGGCGGGAAAGCAAGUCAGAAGUGAAAACUAUGGGCUUAACCCAUAGCCUGCUUUUGAAACUGUUUUUCUUGAAUGAAGUAGAGGCAAGCGGAAUUCCUAGUGUAGCGGUGAAAUGC